UACGGAGGAUGCGAGCGUUAUCCGGAUUUAUUGGGUGUAAAGGGAGCGUAGACGGAGAAGCAAGUCUGGAGUGAAAGCCCGGGGCUCAACCCCGGGACUGCUUUGGAAACUGUUAUUCUUGAGUGCCGGAGAGGUAAGCGGAAUUCCUAGUGUAGCGGUGAAAUGCGUAGAUAUUAGGAGGAACACCAGUGGCGAAGGCGGCUUACUGGACGGUAACUGACGUUGAGGCUCGAAAGCGUGGGGAGCAAACAGG
This 253-nucleotide ribosomal RNA is filed under the name uncultured bacterium. Its description in RNAcentral is "partial 16S ribosomal RNA". It matches the Rfam family "Bacterial small subunit ribosomal RNA", at positions 524 to 776 of the family's 1533-position model. The record is from RNAcentral.